RNAcentral lists this ribosomal RNA (237 nucleotides) under uncultured bacterium. RNAcentral describes it as "partial 16S ribosomal RNA". It matches the Rfam family "Bacterial small subunit ribosomal RNA", at positions 15 to 248 of the family's 1533-position model. The record is from RNAcentral.
GAUCCUGGCUCAGGAUGAACGCUGGCGGCGUGCAUAACACAUUCAAGUCGAACGGACGACCCGGAGCUUGCUCCGGGAAGUUAGUGGCGGACGGGUGAGUAACGCGUGAGCAACCUGCCUGUGUGAGCGGAAUAACGUCCGGAAACAGACGCUAAUACCGCAUGACUCACGGACUUCGCAUGGAGACCGUGGCAAAGAUUUAUCGCAUACAGAUGGGCGUCGCGUCCGAUUAGGCAG